Schistocerca cancellata (South American locust) is the source of this 1773-nucleotide RNA transcript. RefSeq lists it as uncharacterized. The record is from RefSeq and is a predicted model, not a curated record. The transcript is spliced from 4 exons. NCBI's taxonomy places the organism in Eukaryota, Metazoa, Arthropoda, Insecta, Orthoptera, Acrididae.
UCUGCUUUGUUCUUCACUGUCAUACUGCCCGUGUAUCUUGAGUGGUUGUGUUUUCGCUAUCGAGCAAAAUGUCUCAGGUGUAUGAAAACAUCUUUCGUGACGCUCUGAAAGAUUUCAGAGGAUGGCUUGAUUUCAGGCUAUUGUAAUUCGUUGGAGGAGGUAAAACAAAGCAUUUCUUCAAGCAAAUGCAGGAACAUGUCCCUAUCCCCUUUUUUGGUUGUGCAUUUGCAGUGGAGAGUGUGUGGUCAAGGCACUGUGUUUUGGGGCCGAAAUACUAUAAAAGUAAAGAGUCUAGUGUACCUGAGCACUUGGAAGACCAUGUGACUCCUCGUAAGAGAUUGAGGAUCAUGGAUACUGGAAAAUCCAACUGCCCAACAACUUUAAAUAUGAAGUGUAUAAGGGUGUAUCCUGAUUACAGUAUGCACUCAGCAACUGAACACAGGGAUACCAAGGCAAAAGUUCUUGCAAGUCUACAGAAAGAUUUGGCAUUGCCAUGCCCGCCGAAGGGCUACCUACGUUAUUAUUUGACUGCUUCUCCAGCAAGUGCGCACACACACAUGCUACUGAAAGUGUUGAAGCAAGUGGGUACAUACAUCCUUCACUUGUAAAGGAAAUCAAAAACUUAGUAACUCAGUGGAAUGACAUCUCUCAAAGUCAUUAAGUUGGCUCUAGAUAGAUUUGUUGAAAUCAAUUUCAUUGGGACACACAUACCAGGUCAAAUGAAUACUACCUUUUACCCCACAGAGAAAACUAUUUACAGUCACAUUUAUCGGACCCUUUAUAGUACGAAUAAAGUAUUGUUUGACGAGACUAGACUGCAGAAUCAGGUUGAUGAGUGGCACAAAGACUCGAGCAAUCACAUGAUUUAUUAUAGGCAUUGUAUGGAAGCCAAUGGAGAAGUGAAACCAUUACUUUUUUGCUAUCAGAGCAGUUGGCAGAGAGAUCUUUUGAAGAAGUAUGGGGGUAGUUGUUUGUUAGAUGCAACAUACAAAACAUCAUAUGAUAUUCCUUUAUUUUUUAUAGCUGUGAAGAGUAAUGUGGGCUAUUUGGUUGUCGGUUUUUUUCAUUCAGAUUGAAAAUGCAAGAUCCAUUCAUGAAGCACUAGACAUUUUCAAGGACUGGAACAAGGAUUGGAAUCCCCUCUAUUGGGUUACCGAUUUCUCGGAGUCGGAGAUAAAUGCAAUUGAGCAAGCAUUCCCUCAGACAAAAGUUUACUUGUGCCUUUUCCAUCCAAAACAGGCAUGGGGAAGAUGGUUGAAAAAAAGGAUAAUCUACGUGUACCAAAUGACAUGAAGAGAUUUCUGGACAUGUGGCAAGAAAUUUCAGAAUCAUCAACAGAGAGAGAAUUUAGAGAUCACGUAGAAGAGUUGCGAACGCACGAGGUUUCUCGGAGAAACGAGCGUGCGUGGCCAUACUUUCAACAGCAGUGGCUAACGGUAUGUGAAAGAUGGGUGAAAGCGUAUGAGGACAAGGGCAGAUUUGCAACCAUUGACACUACAAAUGGAGUUGAAGCCAUGAACAAGGUUGUAAAACAUUUUUUCCUUAAACACAAUUCAGACAGGACUUUAACUGGGGUUACUAAGGUUAUAAUAAACCAGUUUCUUCCAAGCCUAAUUAGAAAGUACUGUCUGCAGAAUUCUGCCAUCAAAGCUUAUAACAAAGAUGUUCCACUGUUUUUGCAUAAAAAACAAACAAGUUUGUGAAACAUGUCAUGCAGCGAUAUGAAUCAGCGAAAGUUGAGUUAACUGCAAAAUCAGUGAGUGGGAGAUUGGA